GAAGUAUGUUAGACUCAGAAUUAACUUUGUAUGCAUUAAAGAGAGCGCUUGCAGGGGUCAAACAUACUUCUCCAGGAAUGGAUGACAUAUGCUAUGAGAUGAUAAAGCACUUAUCAGAAUUAUCAUUAAGUAUGAUUUUAAGACCUUUUAACAAAAUAUAGGAGACAGGGAAUUUGCCAGAAGAUUGGAAGCAUGGGGUCAUAGUGCCAAUAGCCAAACCAGGAAAAGACCAUUCUCAGCCAAUUAAUUAUAGACCUAUUGCGCUGACAUCAAAUGUAUGCAAACUUAUGGAACGGAUGGUUAUGAACAGGUUGACUUAUGUGAUUGAAAGUAGAAUUUUUUUUUCAGCAUGUCAAAGUGGAUUUAGGAAAGGGAGAAAUACGAUGGAUUCAAUAUUGUGUUUGGAAGCUGAAAUUCGAAAAGCUCAAAUUAAUAAAGAGGUGCUUGUGGGAGUCUUUUUUGAUGUAGAAAAAGCUUACGAUAUGUUGUGGAAAGAGGGGCUUUUAAUGAAAUUGGAAAGCUUGAGAAUUGAUGGAAAAAUGUAUAACUGGAUUCUGAGUUUCUUGUUUGGAAGAACAAUUCAAGUAAGAGUAGGGACUGCUUUUUCUCAGAUUCUCCCAAUUGAGAAUGGAACUCCCCAGGGAAGUGUGAGCAGUCCUAUUCUUUUUAAUUUAAUGAUAAAUGACAUCUUUCAUAACGUUGAUACUGGAAUAGGAAGAUCAUUGUAUGCGGAUGAUGGAGCACUAUGGAAAAGGGGGCGCAAUGUUUUAUUUGUAGAAAAUAAAAUGCAAAAAGCAGUGAAUGAGGUGGAGAAUUGGGCGAAUUGUUGGGGUUUUCGGUUUUCUGUGGCAAAAACACAAGUAAUAUGCUUUUCGAAAAAGAAAAAGAAUCCAAAUUUGAAUGUCAAAAUGUAUGGUUAUCAGCUGGAACAAGUAAAUGUACUAAGAUUUUGGGGUAUGUGGAUGGACUCUAAAUUAAAUUUUAAAAUUAAUAUUCAGAAAUUGAUAGAAAAAUGCAAAAAAGGAAUAAAUGUCUUAAGGUGCUUGUCCGGAGUUGAGUGGGGGGCAAGCUGUCAGUCAUUGAAAAUUAUUUAUGGUGCUGUGAUUAGGUCAAAUAUAGAUUAUGGUAAUGUAGUUUAUGGUGCUGCGAACAAAACCUUACUUAAAAAAGUAGAGGUAAUACAAAAUCAAGCUUUGCGCAUUUGCUGUGGAGC
Molecule: long non-coding RNA, 1213 nt
Filed under: Sinocyclocheilus grahami
Lineage: Eukaryota; Metazoa; Chordata; Actinopteri; Cypriniformes; Cyprinidae
Description: lncRNA (ENSSGRG00000045675.1)
Source: RNAcentral